AUUGAACGCUGGCGGCAGGCCUAACACAUGCAAGUCGAGCGAAGCGGCGGACGGGUGAGUAAUGCCUAAGGAUCUGGCUGGGCGUGGGGGAUAACGUCCGGAACCGGGGGCUAAUUCCGCAUACUAUCAGAUGAGGCUAGGUCGGAUUAGCUAGUGGGUGGGGUAAAGGCCUACCAAGGCGAAGAUCCGUAACGGGUCUGAGAGGAUGACCAGCCACAUUGGAACUGAGACACGGUCCAGACUCCUACGGGAGGCAGCAGUGGGGAAUAUUGCACAAUGGGCGCAAGCCUGAUAGAGCCAUGCCGCGUGUGUGAAGAAGGCCUUCGGGUUGUAAAGCACUUUCAGCGGGGAGGCGUUACCCGCAGAAGAAGCACCGGCUAACUCCGUGCCAGCAGCCGCGGUAAUUC
This 407-nucleotide ribosomal RNA is filed under the name uncultured bacterium. RNAcentral describes it as "partial 16S ribosomal RNA". It matches the Rfam family "Bacterial small subunit ribosomal RNA", at positions 29 to 526 of the family's 1533-position model. The record is from RNAcentral.